UUUUCCCUGCCUUGUGCGCGGACUGCUGUCUUAUAACCCUACUACAAUGUGAUUUCGGGAGCUUAGCUCCGGGGCCGGAUUGCAGACCUCCCCACCGGGAGAUUUCCCCCGGCUGGGACGAAGGGAGCAGGAACGUCCCGGGCGGCACCCACCUGCUGACAAUGGUAGCAGGUUAUCAACGACGGCGAUACGGCUUGGCGGGGCAAAG
This 208-nucleotide non-coding RNA is filed under the name Bacillota bacterium. RNAcentral's name for it is "Firmicutes bacterium (gut metagenome) 6S RNA". It matches the Rfam family "6S / SsrS RNA". From Rfam's summary of the family: E. coli 6S RNA was the first non coding RNA to be sequenced, but its function was unknown until recently. It consists of 184 nucleotides that fold into an extended hairpin structure with a large single-stranded internal bulge. The record is from RNAcentral. Lineage: Bacteria; Bacillati; Bacillota.